GAUAGUCCGACAUGUAAGAAAAAAGCCAACGAUAAAUUAAAACAACAUGUCCAAGAUCCUAAAAAACACAAACUUUUGCCAUGGUGGAAGAAAUGGACAUAUUGUAACGGUUUGAUGAUAACUAACAACAUAGAGACUUGGGGAUUAGUGUAUAGUAUAGGAUAUGGUAUAGAUUAUGAUCGUGAUACAUUUGACCCUAAAUUUAUAGAAUACUUGGCCUGCUCUGAAGAUGCAGAUAUAAUUAAACACUAUUCAAAAAUUAACGCUCUUAAAAAACGAGAAAUUCAAUAUCUUCUUUUUAGUUUGUUACAUAUUAUUACAAAGCAUGCGAAGAAUCGCAUUUUACUGCGGUACAUAUUAAAUAAUUUUUUGGACUUAAAACCAAAACAUGUUGAUAUACCUGCAGCAUUUAUUAUUAUCAUUAAUAACGUAUAUUCCGUAAAUCAAACUCAGGAAAUAAACAGAUACGUUCAAUGGUUGAA
Molecule: non-coding RNA, 482 nt
Organism: Nylanderia fulva
Lineage: Eukaryota; Metazoa; Arthropoda; Insecta; Hymenoptera; Formicidae
Source: RefSeq, a predicted model, not a curated record